GACGGGACCGCACAAGCGGUGGAUGAUGUGGUUUAAUUCGAUGCAACGCGAAAACCUUACCACCUUUGACAUGUACGGAAUCCUUUAGAGAUAGAGGAGUGCUCGAAAGAGAGCCGUAACACAGGUGCUGCAUGGCUGUCGUCAGCUCGUGUCGUGAGAUGUUGGGUUAAGUCCCGCAACGAGCGCAACCCUUGUCAUUAGUUGCUACAUUCAGUUGGGCACUCUAAUGAGACUGCCGGUGACAAACCGGAGGAAGGUGGGGAUGACGUCAAGUCCUCAUGGCCCUUAUAGGUGGGGCUACACACGUCAUACAAUGGAUGGUACAAAGGGUCGCCAACCCGCGAGGGGGAGCCAAUCCCAUAAAGCCAUUCGUAGUCCGGAUCGCAGUCUGCAACUCGACUGCGUGAAGUCGGAAUCGCUAGUAAUCGUGGAUCAGAAUGUCACGGUGAGUACGUUCCCGGGUCUU
RNAcentral lists this ribosomal RNA (466 nucleotides) under uncultured Acidovorax sp. RNAcentral's name for it is "bacterial SSU rRNA". It matches the Rfam family "Bacterial small subunit ribosomal RNA", at positions 917 to 1381 of the family's 1533-position model. Lineage: Bacteria; Pseudomonadati; Pseudomonadota; Betaproteobacteria; Burkholderiales; Comamonadaceae. The record is from RNAcentral.